RNAcentral lists this ribosomal RNA (239 nucleotides) under uncultured bacterium. RNAcentral's name for it is "partial 16S ribosomal RNA". It matches the Rfam family "Bacterial small subunit ribosomal RNA", at positions 15 to 244 of the family's 1533-position model. The record is from RNAcentral.
GAUCUGGCUCAGGAUGAACGCUAGCUACAGGCUUAACACAUGCAAGUCGAGGGGAAACGACAUCGAAAGCUUGCUUUUGAUGGGCGUCGACCGGCGCACGGGUGAGUAACGCGUAUCCAACCUGCCCACCACUUGGGGAUAACCUUGCGAAAGUAAGACUAAUACCCAAUGACAUCCCACGAAGACAUCUGAAUGGGAUUAAAGAUUUAUCGGUGAUGGAUGGGGAUGCGUCUGAUUAG